GUGCUCGCUUCAGCAGCACAUAUACUGGAACGAUAUAGAGAAGAUUGGCAUGGCCCCUGCGCAAAGAUGACACACAAAUUUGGGAAGCGUUCCAUAUUUAU
This 101-nucleotide small nuclear RNA is filed under the name Castor canadensis (American beaver). Lineage: Eukaryota; Metazoa; Chordata; Mammalia; Rodentia; Castoridae. The record is from RNAcentral.